GCCAGGAAGAGCCUCACGUGAUGAUCCUUCUCUUGCUGAUGGCUGUGGUGGUGAUGAUCAAACCGGAGCCUCUAAGAAGUUGACUGAAGAGGCCGUUCCUCU
This is a small nucleolar RNA of Apteryx haastii (Great spotted kiwi), 102 nucleotides long. Lineage: Eukaryota; Metazoa; Chordata; Aves; Apterygiformes; Apterygidae. The record is from Ensembl.